CUACCAUAUCAUGUUGAUAACACCGGUUCCCGUACGAUGACCGAAGUUAAGCAACGUCGAGAUUUAUUAAUAUUUAGCUGGUUGACCGUUUGCGAAUACCAGGUGCU
Acanthosepion pharaonis is the source of this 107-nucleotide non-coding RNA. NCBI's taxonomy places the organism in Eukaryota, Metazoa, Mollusca, Cephalopoda, Sepiida, Sepiidae. The record is from the annotation of a GenBank genome assembly.